GCAUAUGGUGCCCCUCCCCCCUUCUCUCUCUAUGGAAGGGUUCCCAUUUCAUCUCAUUCAGUAACAAAGAACUUGUUACCGCAAACCCUAAUUCACUCGAACCAUUGUAAGCCCCCACCACCUCCUUCCUUUCUCUUUUUCCUAUCAAUUUGAUACCAAACUGUAGUGAGACCUUACGUUUCUCUCUUCUCGCCAUUAACCUCUACCUCUCUCUCCCCCAAAAAGUCUCCAUCUUCUCUCUCUAGCCUUCUCCUUCAAACAUUCUCUAAAUAGUUGCACAGAAAAGACAACCAUCUCUCUAAGAAAACUAAGCAACCUCAGAUUGGAAACCAGGUAGCUUCUCCAAAGAAAACGAAGAGAUAAUUUGGUCAAGAGGAAUUUCAAUGGGUAUUUUUCUUGUAAGGGUAUACGGAGGCAAUAAAAGUUUCCUAUGGGUCUUUAGAGAGAGAGACUAGGGGAGUUUUGAUAAGAGAAUGAAGAUGGAGGCUCUGGCCCCAAGCAGAUUAGCAUAAUGGGGAAAGCGAUGAAGAUCAUUAAACAAAGAUCAGAAACAGAUCAAGACUGAAAGAAACACAUUUGGGGAAUUUGGAUAGGAGAGACGGAGAAAAUUUGGAUGAGAGAGACAAGGGAACCUAGUGAGGAUUCUUUUUGUGGUGUGCCAGAUUCUUUAGAGAAAUUCAAAGGAAAUUUGAAUGACAGAGAGAGUGUGCGUAUGGGUUUCGGCUGGGUUUAAGAGGGCUGGGUUCGGGCUUUCGUCUCGGAUAGGAGCCUGCUUGGCCCGGCCCAGCCCGCCCGAAAAUUAGAAUGGCCCGCAACAGCCUAGCCUAGACCCGGCUAGAAAGCCCAAACCUCAACCUGAAAGCCCAAACAUCGGCCCGUUAAUAGCUUGAACCCAGCUCGGCCUGAAGCUUGAGGACUGGCCUAGAUCAUUGGCACUUCGACCUGAAAGCCCGCGCAUCGGCCCGUCAAAGCUUGAACCCAGCUCGGCCUGAAGCUUGAGGACCGGCGUAGAUCAUUGGCACUCCUAGUUGUAAGCCUAUCAAAAUAAAUUAAGCCUCACCUCAAAACUAAUAAAAAAUUAAAGUCAUGGUAUAUUAAAACUUCCAAAUCCAUUAUCUGGGCCUUGACCAUGGCUGCCAAAGAAAAAUAGGAUGCUAAGCUUUAAAAAUAGUGUUAACAUAUUAAGUAGACCAUCUAUUUCGCCCUAAACUAAAGUUCAUAGAUCCAUAAGAUCUAUACAAUUUUUAGUGGGAUUGUAUCUUAUGAGGCCAUUUAUUUUUGAUACAAAGUGGUCACAAUUAUUUUUAACCAUUGGAUGUGAAAUCUCAUUAAUGAAAGUGUGUCAUAACAUUCGAAAAUUUUUGUUUUAGACUGUAUAUCUAAAUAAUAACACAUUCU
This 1398-nucleotide long non-coding RNA is filed under the name Amborella trichopoda. RNAcentral describes it as "long non-coding RNA (ATRI_LNC004437)". The record is from RNAcentral. Lineage: Eukaryota; Viridiplantae; Streptophyta; Magnoliopsida; Amborellales; Amborellaceae.